GACGAACGCUGGCGGCGUGCUUAACACAUGCAAGUCGAACGGAAAGGCCCUGCUUUUGUGGGGUGCUCGAGUGGCGAACGGGUGAGUAACACGUGAGUAACCUGCCCUUGACUUUGGGAUAACUUCAGGAAACUGGGGCUAAUACCGGAUAGGAGCUCCUGCUGCAUGGGGGGGGUUGGAAAGUUUCGGCGGUUGGGGGUGGACUCAGGGCUUAUCAGCUUGUUGGUCGGGUAAUGGCUUACCCAGGGUUUGACGGGUAGACGGACUGAUAGGGUGAUCGGUGACCCUGGAGCUGAGACACGGUCCAGACGCCUACGGUAGGCAGCAGUGUGGAACAUGGGACAAUGGGCGAAAGCCUGACACAGUCAGGCCGCGUGUGAGAAGAAGGUCUUCGGAGUGUAAAGCACUUUUAGUUGGGAGGAACGGCAGUAGGCUAAUACCUUGCUGUUUUGACGGUACCGACAGAAUAAGCACCGGCUAACUACGUG
RNAcentral lists this ribosomal RNA (488 nucleotides) under uncultured bacterium. RNAcentral's name for it is "partial 16S ribosomal RNA". It matches the Rfam family "Bacterial small subunit ribosomal RNA", at positions 28 to 507 of the family's 1533-position model. The record is from RNAcentral.